UUGAUGAUGGUGUACUAAUUAAACCUUCUCGUUGACAAUUGUUCUGUUGGACUUCCUCUUAGAAGUCACCUUUAGAAGGGUGAUAUGAGGUAAUCUUUAGAAGCGUGGUAUGAGGAAGAAGUUCUCUUCUUCUUCUUCAAUCUCGAGCCAAUCCGCAUUUUCUCCCGCGAGCCCGAGUUGCUCGUGUGCGGCCAAAGCAUCCGCCGGGUCCAGACUUGUGAGCCCUAGCCGCUCGUCUCUGAUCAGUCGUCGUUCACUUUCUCCGCUUCUUCCUUGCUUCGCUGCCAGUGUGUGUGUGAGGAGAUAUAGAUAUCCAAGCUUCUAGUGUCUGAGAGAUGGAUCCAUAAUCUAGAUCUAAACCCUAAAGUUCCUAAAUCUUACAUCUCUGAAACCUUAGUUGUCAAAACUACUAGAUUUAAAAAAUGUGGUACAUUUGGCAAAAAUCCAUUUUUAUAAAACCAUUUGAUAUUAAUUUUAUAAUAAUAAGUUACAUGAUUUUGUGAUAAAAGAAAGUAUAUGUUGCAUACAAACGAUUUAAACAUUAAGCUAAUACAUUUCCAUUUUUUAUGAUUCAAGCUAACCAUAAGUUAAAAUUUUGUCUGAUUAAUAUUGUAUCAAUUAUAGUUUGCUUUUGUAUGUCAAACAAUAUUUUAGAAUUAAGCAACCUGGUUUGGUUUGAUCUUUGCAAUUUUCCAAUAUUAAAAACUUGGCACAAAAGCAUUUGAUAUUAAUUUUAUGGUAAUAUGUUGCAUACAAAUGAUAUGAUUAUGUGCUAAAAGAUAUGUAGAAUACAAAUUAUUUCAAAUAAGAUAAAUACAUUUCCAAAUUUUUUUAUGGAAAUUGUUUUAGUGUAUAAAAAGAAAAUAUGAUUAUUGGUCCAAAAAGAUAUGUGAUAAAAUAUUGUAUAAAUAUUUUACUUUUAUAUGUCAAAUAAAGUUCUCAUUUAUGAUCAUAUUAAAGUUCGUCAAAUCUUGAACUGAAAUAUCAUUAGAUUUUUUACAUUUUAAAUUUCAAUGAUGGCAAAAAGAAGUCCUCCAAUCUCACAUUUGCUUUUUGCGGAUGAUAGUCUCUUUUUCUGUAAAGCAGAUACAGAGCAGUGUAAAACGGUGAUGGAUAUUAUUGGAAAUUAUGGCAAAGCUUCAGGGCAAGAGAUAAAUUUCAAUAAAUCUUCGGUCAUAUUUGGUAAGCGUGUAGCACACCAAAAGAAAGAUGAACUAAAACAUUUCCUUGGUAUUACUAAGGAAGGUGGAAUGGAUACUUAUUUGGGUAUACCAGAGAGCCUAGGGGGCUCAAAAAAUAAAAUCUUUAAUUACGUUCGGGAAAGACUUAAUGAACGGAUUAAUGGUUGGUCAGCUAAAUAUCUGUCAAAAGGUGGGAAAGAGACUAUGAUCAAGUCUGUUGCUUUGGCUCUCCCAACAUAUGUUAUGUCUUGUUUUAAACUUCCUCAAGAGUUAACAUCUAAGUUAACAAGUGCUAUUUCUAAUUAUUGGUGGAGUUCUAAUGGGAAAGACCGUGGAAUUCAUUGGAUAGCAUGGGAAAAAAUGUGUAUGGAUAAAGAAGAAGGAGGUUUGAGUUUUCAUUCUCUAGAUACAUUUAAUGAUGCCAUGUUGGCUAAACAGUAUUAGAGGUUAAUCCAGUAUCCAAACUCAUUAGUAGCUCGAGUGUUAAAAGGUAGAUAUUUUAGGAAUGUUCAUCCUUUAAAUGCUAAAAAGCCAAACUCUCCAUCGUUUGGAUGGAAGAGUUUUUUUUCUACUAAAAGACUCGUUGAAAUGGGUGCAAGAUGGUCUCUUGGUUCGGGUUUUAACAUAUCGGUAUGGAGAGAUCCUUGGAUUCCCGAUGUUAAUCCACGCCCCGCAAAUGGCAGAGGGAAUUUGUUGCUUCCAAGCCUAAUGGUUAACCAUUUAAUUAAUCCGGUUACUAAAGAAUGGCACCUCCCAAUUUUAUAAGAAUUCUUGGAUCCGGUGGAUAUUCAAAUUAUUAGUGGACUAGCUAUUAGUCAAGUUUAUAAACCAGAUAGGCUUAUUUGGCAUUAUACAAAAUCAGGAAAAUAUACAGUAAAAUCAGGAUAUCGGCUUGCUCGAAGUUUGACAGAAACGACCGAAUGGGGUCCAAAUUAUAGAAAAUUACAAGCACAAGUUUGGAAAGUCAAAGCUCCACCAAAAAUAAAACAUUUCUUAUGGCAAAUUGCUUCGGGAUCCUUGGCAGUUACCUCAAAAUUAGCACAACGAGGGAUUCAUUGUGAUAUUAUCUGUAAAAGGUGUGAGACGGCAGAGGAAACAAUAAAUCAUGUUUUAUUUGAAUGUUCUCAUUCUAAAAAAAUAUGGGAAUUAUCCACAAUACCUAUGGUUUCAGGUUCUUUUCCUCUAAGCUCGGAAUUUUCAAAUCUAGAUUAUCUUUACUGGAGGUUACCACCUCCUCUAGAUGGGGGAGAAAGAACUAAUUGUUUUGCUUGGAUUUUGUGGUUCAUAUGGAAAGACAGGAAUAAAAAAGUUUUCAAAGGAAUUCAAUCUGAUCCCACAGAUAUUUUAAAUCACGCUUUGAACGAAAAAUUAAUGUGGGAAGAUGCUCAAUUGGAACCGAUCGAAACUAGUAUUGAUACGGAAAUUUUGGAAAGCCCUAUCCAAUCUAUAAGAUGUCGGAUUGAUGGCUCUUGGAAAUCUUCGGAUCCAACUAUGGGUAUAGGAUGGUGGUGUUUUCAAGGAAAUGAUCAAACGAUACUACUUGGUGCAAAGUGCCUCCGGAGAUCCCCCUCCCCCCUUCACUCGGAGAUGGAAGCGUUAAUUUGGGCCAUGAAGAAUGUCUUUUCAAGAAGGAUUGAUUGUCAGGCGUUUGAAACAGAUUGUUCAGAGUUAGUCUCGAUGGUACAAUCACCUGAAAAAUGGCCCGCUUUCUCUAAUCUGCUAGAUGCUUUUGGACUGCUCCGUGACUCUUUCCCCUUAUUCUCGCUUUCUCUUAUACCUCGUUUAUGUAAUGUUAAGGCGGACUGCUUAGCCCGUUCUUCUAGACUUUUAUUUUCCGAAGUUACUUUUGUAAACACUACUCCUCCUAAUUGGGCAACCAAUCAAGGUGUUAUUUAAUAAUUAAUGUGUGGUUGACAAAAAAAAAAAAAAAAUUCAAUUAAUAAUAUAUUAUUAUAGUUAAAAAAAUAAAAAUAUCCAGCAGAGAUACACUACUCAUUAAAGUAUUAUAAAAGAAUGAAAGUCUAUAUAUAUGCUUAUGACGCAAUUUCUUACAAUAUCUGUAAUUGGAGACUCAAACAUCUCUGACGGUUGAUUAAUUUUUUUUCUCUCUCUCGCUUCUACCUGUUCGCCCUAGCCGUCAAAGCCAUUUUCUUCCUCUCUUGGCCGGCGAUUGGUGGCUUCCAUAGCACGGUCGCCCGUCCCGUUCACCGUAGUUUCAGCUUCUUCUCAUUAGUUCAUCUUUGUUGUUAAUUUUGCUUCUCAAACCCUAGUUUCGCCGUCUCCUCCCAUUGUCCUUUCCUCCCUUCUUUGGUGGUUCCGACGUGGUGACUAUCAUGGAGGAUGGGUGGCGUAUUGGUGAUCUUCGUAGACGGAUCUGUUCCCCGGUGGAACUGUCUCGUUUUCUCCGAUCUGGUUAUAGAGGUCUGUGUUUUCCGAUCUGUUUCUAGUGUCUCAACAUUCAGCUCUGUUCUCGUUGGUUGGGGAAUCGGGAGUUGAUUUGUUGCAUGUUCCGGCUGGUUCCGAGGUGGAUCUGAAGAGUUCAAGUCCUGGAUUUUGUUGGCUUUGCGGUGGUGCUGUCUCUUGUGAGGCGUGUAUUUAGCCGGCGUUUCGUUUCCAUGACUUGUUUCUGAACAUCCUUUUGGUGUUGCAGCAACGGCCUCUUUGUGUGCGGAUUCUUCCUCUGUUAGUGAGUUUGGAUGACUUCUAGGGUUUGUGUUAUGCUGUGUUUUUCGAUUUGUUGUGAUUUGAAGCCUUAGGUUCAGCUUUUGGGUUGGCUUGUUUGACUCCUUGCUCUGCCUCUCUCUCUGUCCUCCUCUUGGUUUUCGGUGUGGUGAUUUGGCGAUAGGUUCUGUUUUGUGGGUUCUCCAUUCAGAUGCUAGCUUUCUACAAUGGCAUCUACUAGCUCUCUGUUGGAACCUCGUUUGGUUUCUCGGCUGAGUUCUGGACGUUGUGGUGGGUCGAUCCCUUGUCCUUCUCUUUGCGUGGCGUAACCAGUUUUUAGUCUGUAGGUGGCUUUGGCUGGGUCUACGAAGGUCCGUGUGUAAGGAUGGUUGGUCCUAUUUGGCGUUUCCCCUCUCGGAUCUCAAGGUUUUCCUUGAUCCUCCGCUUUCUCAUUCUCAUUGGCUCUAAAGUGGUGGUGGUGGUUAGGUUCUGUGUUCUGAUCUUCUUGCUUCGUCGUCUUCGUUUCUGCUGUGGAGAUGGUUGUGUGAGCUCGUUUAGUUUCCUUCUCGAGGCUCCUGUCUGUUGUCUCUCCAUGGCGUAAAACUGUUCUAUGGAAGUGUUAGUCGACUGCUUGUAGGGAAGAGUUGUCAGUGUUGUGGCUUUGGAGGCUUUAGCUAUUAUUCCUUUAGUUGUAAUCUUUGUAUCGUUAGGCUUGAUAUGUUUGUCUGCCUCUUAUGGCCUUAUGUCUCUGGGGGUUUCUAUGUACCUGCCGGCUUUGUCUCCGAAAGGUUUCCGUUCCUUAUCGGCUUUGUAUACCUUAAAAUCGCAUUCUAUCAAUGAAAUCCUUUAGACGAAAAAAAAAAAAAAAAGACUCAAACAUCUCUAAUCUUCUUUGUGCUCCCUUCAACAUUAGAGAAUUAUGACUCACCAUAAAUCUUGUUGCAUUAGGUUGAGGCUUGUCCUCAAAGAGCCUGCGUUGGUG
Molecule: long non-coding RNA, 4824 nt
Filed under: Arabidopsis lyrata
Lineage: Eukaryota; Viridiplantae; Streptophyta; Magnoliopsida; Brassicales; Brassicaceae
Description: long non-coding RNA (ALYR_LNC002750)
Source: RNAcentral